RNAcentral lists this ribosomal RNA (417 nucleotides) under uncultured bacterium. RNAcentral's name for it is "bacterial SSU rRNA". It matches the Rfam family "Bacterial small subunit ribosomal RNA", at positions 28 to 426 of the family's 1533-position model. The record is from RNAcentral.
GACGAACGCUGGCGGCGUGCUUAACACAUGCAAGUCGAACGGAGCACCCUUGAUUGAGGUUUCGGCCAAAUGAUAGGAAUGCUUAGUGGCGGACUGGUGAGUAACGCGUGAGGAACCUGCCUUUCAGAGGGGGACAACAGUUGGAAACGACUGCUAAUACCGCAUAAGCCCACGACCCGGCAUCGGGAAGAGGGAAAAGGAGCAAUCCGCUUUGAGAUGGCCUCGCGUCCGAUUAGCUAGUUGGUGAGGUAACGGCCCACCAAGGCGACGAUCGGUAGCCGGACUGAGAGGUUGAACGGCCACAUUGGGACUGAGACACGGCCCAGACUCCUACGGGAGGCAGCAGUGGGGAAUUUUGGACAAUGGGGGCGAACCCUGAUCCAGCCAUGCCGCGUGCAGGAUGAAGGCCUCGGUUGG